UUUAAUUGGAGAGUUUGAUCCUGGCUCAGAACGAACGCUGGCGGCGUGCCUAACACAUGCAAGUCGAACGAGAAACCCCGGGCUUGCUCGGGGGAGUAAAGUGGCGAACGGGUGAGUAACGCGUGGGUA
Molecule: ribosomal RNA, 129 nt
Filed under: Deltaproteobacteria bacterium
Lineage: Bacteria; Pseudomonadati; Myxococcota; Myxococcia
Description: partial 16S ribosomal RNA
Rfam family: Bacterial small subunit ribosomal RNA
Source: RNAcentral